RNAcentral lists this ribosomal RNA (513 nucleotides) under uncultured bacterium. RNAcentral's name for it is "partial 16S ribosomal RNA". It matches the Rfam family "Bacterial small subunit ribosomal RNA", at positions 28 to 523 of the family's 1533-position model. The record is from RNAcentral.
GACGAACGCUGGCGGCAUGCCUAAUACAUGCAAGUCGAGCGAACAGAUGAAGUGCUUGCACUUCUGACGUUAGCGGCGAACGGGUGAGUAACACGUAAGGAAUCUACCUAUAAGCGGGGGAUAACAUUCGGAAACGGGUGCUAAUACCGCAUAAUAUCUUCUUCCGCAUGGAAGAAGAUUGAAAGACGGCUCUGCUGUCACUUAUAGAUGACCUUGCGGUGCAUUAGUUAGUUGGUGGGGUAACGGCCUACCAAGACGAUGAUGCAUAGCCGACAUGAGAGGGUGAUCGGCCACAUGGGGACCGAGACACGGCCCAAACACCUACGGGAGGCAGCAGUAGGGAAUCUUCCGCAAUGGGCGAAAGCCCGACGGAGCAAUGCCGCGUGAGUGAAGAAGGCCUUCGGGUCGUAAAACUCUGUUAUAAGAGAAGAACAAAUUGUAGAGUAACUGCUACAGUCUUGACGGUAUCUUAUCAGAAAGCCACGGCUAACUACGUGCCAGCAGCCGCCGUAA